This 334-nucleotide long non-coding RNA is filed under the name Capsicum annuum. Its description in RNAcentral is "long non-coding RNA (CANN_LNC014880)". The record is from RNAcentral. Lineage: Eukaryota; Viridiplantae; Streptophyta; Magnoliopsida; Solanales; Solanaceae.
GGUCAAACAUUAUUAGAAACUUGAUCAAGUUAAUUAUGGACUUGAUUAAUAUUUUCAAAACUUUCUAAUCUUUUCAAAAAUACAAAUCAACCCAACCCACACCCUCUUCAAUCUAAAUCAACCACUCUCUCCUCUUUCUCGACAGCUUCUCUCAGCUCUCUCCCAACCAACAGUUCUGCAAAAUUUCUCCCUUCAACCCUUGACGACAAAUAGUUGGGCUUUGAGUUCCCCUCUUCAAUUCAAUCAACCUGUCUCUCAUCCCUCUCUCGACAGCUUCUCUCAACUCUCUCCCAACCAACUAUUCUGUAAAUUUUUUAUUUCAAUCCUCGGCGAC